UUAACCCUCCAUAAUAUCAUUGGAUGGCAUCAUUUGAUGAUUAAAACUAGAGGUGGUAAAAGAUGGGCAUGCGUCUGAUUAGUUAGUUGGCAGUGUAACGGACUACCAAGACGAUGAUCAGUAGGGGACCUGAGAGGGUGAUCCCCCACCACUGGCACUGAGAUACGGGCCAGACUCCUACGGGAGGCAGCAGUAGGGAAUAUUGGACAAUGGGUGAGAGCCUGAUCCAGCCAUGCCGCGUGCAGGAAGAAGGCGUUAUGCGUUGUAAACUGCUUUUGCCAGGGGAUAAAACGGUUCUGCGGAACUAAUUGAAGGUACCUGGUGAAUAAGCCACGGCUAACUACGUG
RNAcentral lists this ribosomal RNA (347 nucleotides) under uncultured bacterium. RNAcentral describes it as "bacterial SSU rRNA". It matches the Rfam family "Bacterial small subunit ribosomal RNA", at positions 163 to 507 of the family's 1533-position model. The record is from RNAcentral.